RNAcentral lists this long non-coding RNA (899 nucleotides) under Homo sapiens (human). Its description in RNAcentral is "EML2 antisense RNA 1, transcript variant 2 (EML2-AS1)". The record is from RNAcentral. Lineage: Eukaryota; Metazoa; Chordata; Mammalia; Primates; Hominidae.
GGUCCCUCCAAGGCUCUGGCACCGUCCCCGCUUUUGAACUAGCUGGCCCCACUCUAGGUUACGACCUCGUGGCCUGGGGCAUGACUACAUUUCUCGACCAUUUCCUCCCUAUCUCUUUCUGCGGCUUGACGCCGCCCCAGUCCUUACCCUUCCUUUUUGGCGCUACAGUUGCUGCUGGAGGAUGUGGUCCGGCUGCGGGGGUCCUCACGGCGCACCGAGGCGAGGCGCUCUGGUGACAAGUAGCGGCGGACACUGCUAAAAGAGAGCACACAGGCGACGCAGAGCAUCCGCCAGCGCCGCCUUUAGGACCGCCAGCUCGUCUUCCUGUAACUGCAGCCGCUGCUCCAGCGCCGACACGCGGUCGUCCACUUCCAUACCGCUCGUGCCCGACAAAUUGUCAUCUGGAAGACGGGGGAGUGCCGGCUGCAGGGCCACCCAGGAGCUCCAGUGCCCAAGGGGUCCCUCCCGCCUUCCUGGGUCUAAGCGGGGGGCCAGCCACGCCCCUUUCCUGUCCCGCUACCUGGGGCUGGGACACUUGGACAUGAGCCAAGGAAGAGGACUCUGAAGGGGGAAGGAAAUCCCCACAGCUCUCCAACCCAUCCGCACACUCCUCUCUGCCACAGCGCGCUGGCCGUGUGACCUUGGGGAAGUCCCUUCCCUCUUAUUUUCUAAGAGUCUGUGAACCCAGGAGCCUCUCGCUCUGGCUUUAAGAUGCUAUGACUAAGACGUGACCAGGCGCAGUGGCUCACGCCUGUAACCCCAGCACUUUGGGAGGCCGAGGCGGGCGUAUCACGAGGUCAGGAGAUCGAGACCAUCCUGGCCAACAUGGUGAAACCCCGUCUCUACUAAAAUAAAAUUAAAUUAAAAAUAAAAUAAAAUUUAAAAAAAAAAAAAAAAAA